GUACCCUUAGCUCAGUUGGUUAGAGCAGACGGCUCAUAACCGUCCGGUCGUAGGCUCAAGUCCUAAAGGGUACA
RNAcentral lists this transfer RNA (74 nucleotides) under Enterococcus faecium. Its description in RNAcentral is "tRNA-Ile". It matches the Rfam family "tRNA". From Rfam's summary of the family: Transfer RNA (tRNA) molecules are approximately 80 nucleotides in length. The record is from RNAcentral. RNAcentral also lists the same sequence under 1 other name. Lineage: Bacteria; Bacillati; Bacillota; Bacilli; Lactobacillales; Enterococcaceae.